This 2481-nucleotide long non-coding RNA is filed under the name Eucalyptus grandis. RNAcentral's name for it is "long non-coding RNA (EGRA_LNC001281)". Lineage: Eukaryota; Viridiplantae; Streptophyta; Magnoliopsida; Myrtales; Myrtaceae. The record is from RNAcentral.
AACUCUUGUAUGACAGGGCCCCCAGCCAAGCCGAUAUCAUACAUGACCAAGCAUCGUACUCGGAUAAACGUCAAUCCGGGCACAGAGGGACAAUCUAUCUCCGUACACUCCACCUCAACAUCAGACGGUAUACCGUAAAAUACCCCACGCGAAACAGCAGGUAGCGGCAUAGUGCUAAUCUGAAAUGUUAUCCCCAAAAGGGGUGGGUACAACCGCUCAGCAGAUAGGGAAAUCCAAUAACAUUCCAAUGCACCAUACAUAUCAUCACACGUUGCAAACAUCACUUACCUUGUAACCAUGCAUAUCAUGCAUCAUUAAUAGCCAUGCAUCACCAUGCAUAUCACAUCAUCCUUAGCCGUGCAUCACCAUGCAUAUCACAUCAUAUCAUCAUUAGCCAUGCAUCACCAUGCAUAUCACAUCAUAUCAUCAUUAGCCAUGCAUCACCAUGCAUAUCACAUCAUAUCAUCAUUAGCCAUGCAUCACCAUGCAUAUCACAUCAUAUCAUCAUUAGCCAUGCAUCACCAUGCAUAUCACAUCAUAUCAUCAUUAGCCAUGCAUCACCAUGCAUAUCAUAUCAUCAUUAGCCAUGCAUUACCAUGCAUAUCACAUCAUAGAUCAAUUUCCACUUUUACUUAUCAAUUGAUCCCAUAUUAUCUUUUCUCAAAUCAUCAAAUUCACCAUCAUCACCAUCCCUUCGGGCAGAAACCUCCGACAGGGUAUCAUUAUCAAUCCUUCGGGCAGAAACCUCCGACAGGAUUCCAUGAUCAAUUUGAUCAUCACCCUUCGGGCAGAAACCUCCGACAGGGUUCCCAGUAUCCCAGCCAUCUCAUGGCCACUGGGCUUCCGGCCCCCCACAUUCCGGGCAUCUCGCAUCUCAACUAGCAUCACGAGGCAUUCCCUUCGGGCAGAAACCUCCGACAGGGUUCCCGGCCUUUACCCUUCUAACCGGGGAUCUCGCACCCCAAUCCUGGCAUCGCGAGUCACCUCCGGGCAUGUAUCCCAGAUACAACCGGACUUCCGGCCCCCCACAUUCCGGGCAUCCUGAAACUCCCAGGGAAUCUCUGGAAUUACGCCACCCGGCCACCAGACAACAUCCUCCGCCACAACCUCUUACUCACAUAUCACUUUCCACUUUUUAUCAUCCUUUUCAUCUUAUUAUUUCAUGGCAUAUUGUUCACACACAUGCAUCAUGAUUCGUAAUCAUACAUGCAUCAAUGCCAUAUAACAAUGCAUCAUAAUUCAUGAUCAUUCAUACAUCAAUGCCAUAUAGCAAUACAUCAUAAUUCCAUAGAACUCAUGGCCAAUAAAAUAAUCCACCUUUUAUUUUAUUAUUAUUUUAUUAUUAUAUUAUUAUAUUAUUAUAUUAUUAUAUUAUUUUAUUUUCAUAAAUAAAUAUUAUAUUUAACAUUUAUGAUUUUCCAAAAAUCAUAAUCUUCAAUCAAUCAUUAUCAAACAAUUAAAAUCAAAUUUCACAUAAAAUCCAUGGCUAAUUUGCAUUUUACAUAAUUUCCCAAAUUUCCACAAUAUUCGGGAAAUGGCCAGAUUGCACAGUUUUCGAAUUAAUUCAAUUAAAAUACUCAUAUGACCUCCGAAAAUUCCCAAAUUUUACAGGGUGAUAGCCAACACAUUUUCGUGCAUUUUUCAUGUAGAACUCUAAGCCAAAUUCUUUAUAGAUUAAUUUAUACAACUCCAUGAAGCUUCUGGAACCUCUACCGUUUCGUCCAGAACGUACAUCACCGAAAAACUUAGGUUUGACCCAUCAAAUCUCUUUCGUUUCUUCUGAAAUUCGAUUAUUUUAUGUGUCAAUGUGUCCUUUACAAGUUUCAUGAAGAGGUAUAGGUUAAAUAAUCAAAGUAUAAUCCUCUUUUAAGUCCUUGAAGUCUCGGGUGUCUCGGUUCACUUCAACAGAACCAUCCGUCUCAAAGAUCUAGCCGAUUAACUAGGCUACACUUGUUCAUUUCUCUUCAAAUUUGAGUAUAUUGUAGUUUAGGAUGUUACCAACAACUUUCAUGAAGACAAUAAAGUGAGAUCUCCAACAGAAAUCAACAUGCAACCAAGAAAUCAUCAAGAGGUCAGUAGGAAAUUCGCAGAUCUAAAGCCUCCGUGAAAUAGAACUUUUGACCCCUCAUAUCACCAUCGUUUUCCAUGAAAUUCGAGUAUGUCAUACCUCAAGAUGUUAGCUUCAACUUUCAUGAAGACACCGAAGCCAAAAUCACACUCCAAAUACACAUGCAAGCUCGAAUAAGAAACUGUCUACCACAAACCGAACGGAAACAGCCACAUUACAUGAACACAUGCAACCCUUACCUCGGUUCUUCGCCCAAACCACACCUAAAAUCUAACAUGCAACCAACAAAAACAACAUGCAAGAGAAGUUAUGGACCCCCACUUGCCUUAAAGAAGAACACACAGCAACACACGGCGGCGUAGGACGGUCGGACGGCGGACGAACGGCGGCACCUCCCUCUAGGCUCCGCCUCC